UGGCGGACGGGUGAGUAAUGCGUGAGCAACCUGCCCUUCAGAGGGGGACAACAGUUGGAAACGACUGCUAAUACCGCAUGAUGUUCCCGGGAGGCAUCUUCUGGGAACCAAAGAUUUAUCGCUGAAGGAUGGGCUCACGUCUGAUUAGCUAGUUGGUAGGGUAACGGCCUACCAAGGCAACGAUCAGUAGCCGGGUUGAGAGACUGAACGGCCACAUUGGGACUGAGAUACGGCCCAGACUCCUACGGGAGGCAGCAGUGGGGAAUAUUGGGCAAUGGGGGCAACCCUGACCCAGCAACGCCGCGUGAAGGAAGAAGGCUUUCGGGUUGUAAACUUCUUUUACCAGGGACGAAGGACGUGACGGUACCUGGAGAAUAAGCUCCGGCUAACUACGUGCCAGCAGCCGCGGUAAUACGUAGGGAGCGAGCGUUGUCCGGAUUUACUGGGUGUAAAGGGCGCGUAGGCGGGAUAGCAAGUCAGAUGUGAAAUCUGGGGGCUUAACCCCCAAACUGCAUUUGAAACUGUUAUUCUUGAGUGAUGGAGAGGCAAGCGGAAUUCCUAGUGUAGCGGUGAAAUGCGUAGAUAUUAGGAGGAACACCAGUGGCGAAGGCGGCUUGCUGGACAUUAACUGACGCUGAGGCGCGAAA
This 647-nucleotide ribosomal RNA is filed under the name uncultured bacterium. RNAcentral describes it as "bacterial SSU rRNA". It matches the Rfam family "Bacterial small subunit ribosomal RNA", at positions 96 to 758 of the family's 1533-position model. The record is from RNAcentral.